This 403-nucleotide long non-coding RNA is filed under the name Homo sapiens (human). RNAcentral's name for it is "non-protein coding lnc-ZCCHC7-5:1". The record is from RNAcentral. Lineage: Eukaryota; Metazoa; Chordata; Mammalia; Primates; Hominidae.
AUGGCUGCCCUCAGACCCCUCAUGAAGCCCAAGAUUUUCAAAAAGAGGAACAAGACAUUCAUCCGGCAGCAGUCAGACUGAUAUGUCAAAAUUAAGUGUAACUGGCAGACACCUAGAGGUAUUGACAACAGGAUUCAGAGAAGGUUCAAGAGCCAGCUCUUGAUGUCCAACAUUGGUUAUGGGAGCAACAAAAAGACAAAGCACAUGCUGCCCAGUAGCUUACAGAAGUUCCUGGUCCACAACGUCAAGGAGCUGGAAGUGCUGCUGAGGUGCAACAAAUCUUACUGUGCUGAGAUCGCUUACAAUGUUUCCUCCAAGAACCACAAAGCAAUUGUGGAAAGAGCAGCCCAGCUGGCCAUCAGACUCACCAGUCACAAAGCAAGGCUAUGCAGCAAAGAAAAUG